Molecule: ribosomal RNA, 256 nt
Filed under: uncultured bacterium
Lineage: Bacteria
Description: partial small subunit ribosomal RNA
Rfam family: Bacterial small subunit ribosomal RNA
Source: RNAcentral
AGGACGAACGCUGGCGGCGUGCUUAACACAUGCAAGUCGAGCGGAAAGGCCCUUUCGGGGGUACUCGAGCGGCGAACGGGUGAGUAACACGUGAGUAACCUGCCCUGGACUUUGGGAUAACCCUCGGAAACGGGGGCUAAUACCGGAUAUGACUUUCCCUGCAUGGGGAUUGGUGGAAAGUUUUUCGGUCUGGGAUGGGCUCGCGGCCUAUCAGCUUGUUGGUGAGGUAAUGGCCUACCAAGGCGACGACGGGUAG